CCCAGUUGAGGCUCAAGUCUGAUGCUCGGCUUGGGUCCCGGCCGGUAAUAAACUCCUGUGUGGAUUUACUAUCAGUCUCUGGUUGGUUCUCUCUCAUUGGGUGCAACAUUCUUGGAGGCCCCAGCGAGACAGCCAGCUGCUCUGGAGCUUAUUAUCUUGGAGGAUUUGUUUCUUUUUAGGAGACCAGGAUCGGACAUCGGCAGUGUUUGGCCCCUCUGGACACCGGUCUGCGGAAGGAGAGGCCACCCUGACGGUAUUCUGGGACUCUGGGUAGGCCGGUCCCAGUCCCCAGUCAAGCCCUAUCGCCGACCAACCAACCCACAGGAGUUUAUGCGGGAAGCCUCUAGAGGUGUAUAGCAUGGUGGCUGGAUAUGCAUAGACAAGAAAUGACCAUCACAGAGACAGGCUGUGAGAAUUAUAGCCCACAUUUGGCUGGGGUUGAAGCAGGG
This 449-nucleotide long non-coding RNA is filed under the name Heterocephalus glaber (naked mole-rat). Its description in RNAcentral is "lncRNA (ENSHGLG00000044251.1)". Lineage: Eukaryota; Metazoa; Chordata; Mammalia; Rodentia; Bathyergidae. The record is from RNAcentral.